AAUAAGUACAGUUUUGCGCUGUUUAUGUCCCACGUUUGACCGUUUGUCUUAUUUGAAUUUUUUUAUUAGUAUUUUUAUGUUAUUAAAUGAUAAAACAUGAAUAGUACUUUAUGUGUGACUAAUUUUUUUAAAAAAAAUUAUAUUUUUUAAAAAAAAUUAUAUUUUUUUAAAAAAAAUUAUAUUUUUUUCAAAUAAGACGAACAAUCAAAUGUUGAACACGGAUACUCACGGCUGCACUUAUU
This 242-nucleotide microRNA precursor is filed under the name Oryza glumipatula. RNAcentral's name for it is "MIR812 microRNA precursor family". It matches the Rfam family "MIR812 microRNA precursor family". Lineage: Eukaryota; Viridiplantae; Streptophyta; Magnoliopsida; Poales; Poaceae. The record is from Rfam by way of RNAcentral.